UACAGAGACUGCAAGCGUUACUCGGAUUCACUGGGCGUAAAGGGAGCGCAGGCGGACUCGUGUGUCGGACGUGAAAUACCGGGGCUUAACCCCGGUGCUGCGUUCGAAACUACGAGUCUAGAGACUGGAGGGGUAAGCGGAAUUCUUGGUGGAGCAGUGAAAUGCGUAGAUAUCAAGAGGAACACCAACGGCGAAGGCAGCUUACUGGACAAGAUCUGACGCUCAGGCUCGAAAGCGUGGGGAGCAAAAGGG
RNAcentral lists this ribosomal RNA (252 nucleotides) under uncultured bacterium. RNAcentral describes it as "partial 16S ribosomal RNA". It matches the Rfam family "Bacterial small subunit ribosomal RNA", at positions 524 to 776 of the family's 1533-position model. The record is from RNAcentral.